AGAAGGCCUUUUGGUUGUAAAGCACUUUAAGCAGUGAAGAAGACUCUUCGGUUAAUACCCGGAGACGAUGACAUUAGCUGCAGAAUAAGCACCGGCUAACUCUGUGCCAGCAGCCGCGGUAAUACAGAGGGUGCAAGCGUUAAUCGGAAUUACUGGGCGUAAAGCGAGCGUAGGUGGCUUGAUAAGUCAGAUGUGAAAUCCCCGGGCUUAACCUGGGAACUGCAUCUGAAACUGUUAGGCUAGAGUAGGUGAGAGGGAAGUAGAAUUUCAGGUGUAGCGGUGAAAUGCGUAGAGAUCUGAAGGAAUACCGAUGGCGAAGGCAGCUUCCUGGCAUCAUACUGACACUGAGGCUCGAAAGCGUGGGUAGCAAACAGGAUUAGAUACCCUGGUAGUCCACGCCGUAAACGAUGUCUACUAGUCGUUGGGUCCCUUGAGGACUUAGUGACGCAGCUAACGCAAUAAGUAGACCGCCUGGGGAGUACGGCCGCAAGGUUAAAACUCAAAUGAAUUGACGGGGGCCCGCACAAGCGGUGGAGCAUGUGGUUUAAUUCGAUGCAACGCGAAGAACCUUACCUGGUCUUGACAUAUCUAGAAUCCUGCAGAGAUGCGGGAGUGCCUUCGGGAAUUAGAAUACAGGUGCUGCAUGGCUGUCGUCAGCUCGUGUCGUGAGAUGUUGGGUUAAGUCCCGCAACGAGCGCAACCCUUGUCCUUAGUUACCAGCGGGUUAAGCCGGGAACUCUAAGGAUACUGCCAGUGACAAACUGGAGGAAGGCGGGACGACGUCAAGUCAUCAUGGCCCUUACGACCAGGGCUACACACGUGCUACAUGGUAGGUACAGAGGGCAGCUACACAGCGAUG
RNAcentral lists this ribosomal RNA (859 nucleotides) under Psychrobacter sp. DJHH80. Its description in RNAcentral is "bacterial SSU rRNA". It matches the Rfam family "Bacterial small subunit ribosomal RNA", at positions 409 to 1262 of the family's 1533-position model. Lineage: Bacteria; Pseudomonadati; Pseudomonadota; Gammaproteobacteria; Moraxellales; Moraxellaceae. The record is from RNAcentral.